This 500-nucleotide ribosomal RNA is filed under the name uncultured bacterium. RNAcentral's name for it is "partial 16S ribosomal RNA". It matches the Rfam family "Bacterial small subunit ribosomal RNA", at positions 30 to 523 of the family's 1533-position model. The record is from RNAcentral.
AUUGAACGCUGGCGGCAGGCUUAACACAUGCAAGUCGAGCGGAGAGAGGUAGCUUGCUACUGAUCUUAGCGGCGGACGGGUGAGUAAUGCUUAGGAAUCUGCCUAUUAGUGGGGGACAACAUUUCGAAAGGAAUGCUAAUACCGCAUACGUCCUACGGGAGAAAGCAGGGGAUCUUCGGACCUUGCGCUAAUAGAUGAGCCUAAGUCGGAUUAGCUAGUUGGUGGGGUAAAGGCCUACCAAGGCGACGAUCUGUAGCGGGUCUGAGAGGAUGAUCCGCCACACUGGGACUGAGACACGGCCCAGACUCCUACGGGAGGCAGCAGUGGGGAAUAUUGGACAAUGGGCGCAAGCCUGAUCCAGCCAUGCCGCGUGUGUAAGAAGGCCUUAUGGUUGUAAAGCACUUUAAGCGAGGAGGAGGCUACUUUAGAUAAUACCUAGAGAUAGUGGACGUUACUCGCAGAAUAAGCACCGGCUAACUCUGUGCCAGCAGCCGCAGUAA